This 253-nucleotide ribosomal RNA is filed under the name uncultured bacterium. RNAcentral describes it as "partial 16S ribosomal RNA". It matches the Rfam family "Bacterial small subunit ribosomal RNA", at positions 524 to 776 of the family's 1533-position model. The record is from RNAcentral.
UACGUAGGGUGCGAGCGUUGCCCGGAUUUAUUGGGCGUAAAGCGCUCGCAGGUGGUCCGCUGCGUCGUGCGUGAAAGACCCCGGCUCAACUGGGGGAUGUCGUGCGAUACGGGCGGACUGGAGGCCAGUAGGGGGAUGCGGAAUUCCCGGUGUAGCGGUGAAAUGUGUAGAGAUCGGGAGGAACACCGGUGGCGAAGGCGGGUCUCUGGGCAUUUCCUGACGCUGAGGCGCGAAAGCGUGGGGAGCAAACGGG